GACGAACGCUGGCGGCGUGCUUAACACAUGCAAGUCGAACGGUGAAGCGCCUUCCUUUUUGGUGGGUGUGGAUGAGUGGCGAACGGGUGAGUAACACGUGAGUAACCUGCCCCCUUCUUCUGGAUAACCGCAUGAAAGUGUGGCUAAUACGGGAUAUUCUGGGUCUGUCGCAUGAUGGGUCUGGGAAAGAUAUUGUUUCGGUGGGGGAUGGGCUCGCGGCCUAUCAGCUUGUUGGUGGGGUGAUGGCCUACCAAGGCGGUGACGGGUAGCCGGCCUGAGAGGGUGGACGGUCACACGGGGACUCAGACACGGCCCAGACUCCUACGGGAGGCAGCAGUGGGGAAUAUUGCACAAUGGGCGCAAGCCUGAUGCAGCGACGCCGCGUGAGGGAUGGAGGCCUUCGGGUUGUGAACCUCUUUCGCCAGUGAAGCAGGCCUGCCUCGUUUGUGGGUGGGUUGACGGUAGCUGGAUAAGAAGCGCCGGCUAACUACGUG
Molecule: ribosomal RNA, 494 nt
Filed under: uncultured bacterium
Lineage: Bacteria
Description: partial 16S ribosomal RNA
Rfam family: Bacterial small subunit ribosomal RNA
Source: RNAcentral